GUUUUGGUCCCUGCAGUUCUUGUGCUUGAGAUUGAGCAUGUUUUGAAGCCUGGUGGAAUUGGGGCUAUGUUUGUGGGUUUUAGUGUUUGAACUUAAAUAGCUUGAUUAGGUUCGUUACAAUUGUGUCGUCAUUAGUAAAAGCCUUCAGUAUGAUACAUGUUGGUUAAGUUCAUGAGUAUACAUCGGUGGUUUUCUAGAAAAUAUUUGAAAAAGUUGGUUAUUGAGCAAUUCCAAUUACAUCCAGAGGCCCUUGUGGGGGAGAGGGAAAUGGGAUUUGAGAAAAAGAU
RNAcentral lists this unclassified non-coding RNA (287 nucleotides) under Hevea brasiliensis (rubber tree). The record is from RNAcentral. Lineage: Eukaryota; Viridiplantae; Streptophyta; Magnoliopsida; Malpighiales; Euphorbiaceae.